UACGGAGGGGGCAAGCGUUAUUCGGAAUUACUGGGCGUAAAGCGCGUGUAGGCGGGGAUACAAGUCUGAUGUGAAAGCCCUGGGCUUAACCUGGGAAGUGCAUUGGAAACUGUAUUUCUUGAGUACUGGAGAGGAAGGGGGAAUUCCCGGUGUAGAGGUGAAAUUCGUAGAGAUCGGGAGGAAUACCAGUGGCGAAGGCGCCCUUCUGGACGGUUACUGACGCUGAGACGCGAAAGCGUGGGGAGCAAACAGG
This 253-nucleotide ribosomal RNA is filed under the name uncultured bacterium. RNAcentral's name for it is "partial 16S ribosomal RNA". It matches the Rfam family "Bacterial small subunit ribosomal RNA", at positions 524 to 776 of the family's 1533-position model. The record is from RNAcentral.